This 524-nucleotide ribosomal RNA is filed under the name Clostridioides difficile. RNAcentral's name for it is "partial 23S ribosomal RNA". It matches the Rfam family "Bacterial large subunit ribosomal RNA", at positions 2399 to 2925 of the family's 2925-position model. Lineage: Bacteria; Bacillati; Bacillota; Clostridia; Peptostreptococcales; Peptostreptococcaceae. The record is from RNAcentral.
AUGAAAAUCGGACUUAGUGAUCCGGUGGUUCUGCGUGGAAGGGCCAUCGCUCAACGGAUAAAAGCUACCCUGGGGAUAACAGGCUUAUCUCCCCCAAGAGUCCACAUCGACGGGGAGGUUUGGCACCUCGAUGUCGGCUCAUCACAUCCUGGGGCUGUAGUAGGUCCCAAGGGUUGGGCUGUUCGCCCAUUAAAGUGGUACGCGAGCUGGGUUCAGAACGUCGUGAGACAGUUCGGUCCCUAUCCGUCGCAGGCGUAGGAAAUUUGAGAAGACCUGUCCUUAGUACGAGAGGACCGGGAUGGACGUACCUCUGGUGUACCAGUUGUCCUGCCAAGGGCAUGGCUGGGUAGCUAUGUACGGAAUGGAUAAGCGCUGAAAGCAUCUAAGCGCGAAGCCAACUUCAAGAUAAGAUUUCCCACCGCAAGGGUAAGACCCCAGAAAGACUAUCUGGUUGAUAGGUCGAAGGUGUAAGUGCAGCAAUGUAUUUAGCUUAUCGAUACUAAUAGGUCGAGGACUUGACCAAU